AUACAGGGGGUGCGAGCGUUAAUCGGAAUUACUGGGCGUAAAGAGUACGUAGGCGGUUGCUUAAGUCAGAUGGGAAAGCCCCGGGCUCAACCUGGGAACUGCAUUUGAAACUGAGUGACUAGAGUUUAAGAGAGGGGAGUAGAAUUCCGGGUGUAGCGGUGAAAUGCGUAGAGAUCCGGAGGAAUACCAGUGGCGAAGGCGGCUCCCUGGCUUAAAACUGACGCUGAGGUACGAAAGCGUGGGUAGCAAACAGGAUUAGAAACCCUAGUAGUCC
RNAcentral lists this ribosomal RNA (274 nucleotides) under uncultured bacterium. Its description in RNAcentral is "partial 16S ribosomal RNA". It matches the Rfam family "Bacterial small subunit ribosomal RNA", at positions 523 to 796 of the family's 1533-position model. The record is from RNAcentral.